This 8464-nucleotide long non-coding RNA is filed under the name Capsicum annuum. RNAcentral describes it as "long non-coding RNA (CANN_LNC000934)". The record is from RNAcentral. Lineage: Eukaryota; Viridiplantae; Streptophyta; Magnoliopsida; Solanales; Solanaceae.
GGCUCUCCUAUAAGUUAAUAAUGGAAGUGAGCUAAUCCUUCACUUAGAAAGUCUCCAAUGUAUUCUUCACCCAAAAUUUAUACAAUAUUUUUUCUCCAAGUAUGGAGGCUAUGAACUCAAGAGCUAAACCUAAAAUUGGAGAAGAUAGAAUUCUCUACAUGAUGAUAAUGUUUGAGUCUUUUUUUUUAAAAUUGGUUUCAACCAUGUGCAUUUCCUCUAAGUCAUGAUAGCAUUAGAUUGACUAUGGCUGGUGCUACCAUGACCACAAUAUACUUAUACAACCACGGUUGAUUGAACCUGUUUAACUGUUGUGAUCGCUGUCAACAAACUACGACCACGGUAACCGAGGCCCUUUUGCUCCAAGUCUUCAGUUGCACUUUUCUUGCUUCCUUUUGAUCAUUUUAAGCUCCAUUCCAUAUCUUUAUAUCUCUUCAACUCUAUUCCUACAAAGAGUGGUUAUUAGUGCAUUCUUUCAUAAUUAUGUCUAAAUAAUUUACUGAAAAUAAGGUAAUAUGCAUAAAUAUUAAGUGCAAAUGAGUGGUAAAAUGACCACUCAUCAAGAAUAAAUCCAUUGCCUUCUUUGUGAACUUGAGAAGGGAUAUAAGAUGAUGGAAUGUAUGGCUAAUUAGAGUAGGAUUAUAAACUUCUAUAGAACAAAGGUUGUAAUUCUCAUGUAGGAUAGAGAUAUACCUAAGUGACCUAUUUGUUUCAUUACGGGAUAAAAUAUAAAUAUAUUUAGCUUAGUUCUCACAUCCCCGCUCAACGAUGUGGUUGUUGGUCUAAGUUAGAUAGAGGAUUAGAGGCUGGAAAAACCAUGAUCACAAUAUCAUGCCCGCGAAUCAACAACCAAGAUAAGUAACUUAACCAAUGAAGUCUAAUAGCUUAGUAUGAUUGUUUGCAGAGACUCAACCCUAGGUUUCUCCUUGUUGAUUGUCCAAGAUAUUUACUUUACUGUGUAAGAUUCUUUACUUUUAGUCUAUAGCUCUCAAACUAUCAUAGUUAUGCUUUCACUAAUUAAAUCUCAAUACUGAACUAGAAUUUUAUAGUUGUCAACACAACUCUCUCAAGGAUUGGUAUUCGGCUUUAUUUAAGGCCACGGUAUUACUUGGUGAGACCACGAUACCUUCGUGUGUGCUUUUGCAUCAGUGCCGGGGACUUUUAAUUAGACAACUAUCUUAUUUUUAGUUUACCUAUAUUAAGUUGGUCAUAGUUUAGUAUUUUUUUUAAUUUUCUUUUACAUUUUUAUCACACUUAUUGAUUUGUCAACCUGGGGUAGACGUUUUUCGUGUGAUGAUAAUUCUUGUUGUUUUUUAGGGGACCCUAUCAAGAGGAUUUUACUAUCCUAUCUGUGGUGCAAACCAUAAGUUUUUGUAAGGUUUAUGGAAAGGGUGGUUAUUCUACAACUAUGUGAGGUGCAAAUCCUGAGUCAGUGAUGUUUGUGGGCAAUGCUCAAAGGCAAAAUUAUGGGAACUCUUACAAUCAAAAGUGAUACACUCAGCCCCCAAUUAAAUCAUGGAACAACAACCAACAAUAAUAGUUUCAACAGAAACAACAAAAAACAAAGGCCAACAACAUAGAAGACAUGUUUAAAAAAAUCAUGGCCACCCAAGAACAGAUGUCUGCUAAACUCAAAAAUCAGCAAGUAUUUCAGAAGAAUUUUUUGCGUCAACUGGGGCAAUUGUAGAAAACCCAAAACACCAAGCCCCAAGGUGAUUUUCUAAGUAACAAUGAACCUCCUAAACAAGUAAAUACAAUUAAUUUGUGGAAUGGUAAAGAGUUGAAUGAAAGGACUCCAAAGACAACUAAGGAGGUAGAUGCAAAGUUGGCUCCUCAACCAGAUGCAAACAAAGUUGUUGAUAAUUUGAGAAAGUUUGAGUUCUUGAAAACUAAAUUUUUUGAACAAUUUAAGGAGAUACCACCACUACCAUCUCUACAGAGGUUGAGAAUAUCAAAUAAGGAUACAAGCCAAUUUAUGGAGCAAACAUAAGAAUUUCUUUCAUUCGACUAUCAUUUUUCUCUUGACACUGAAUUUAAAAAGGUAAAUAAGAGUGAGUAUGUUGUGAUGGUGUAAAUUUUUAAGUGGGAUUGGUUGGACUUUAUUCAAAGCACUUUUCUACAUUAUGUUUAGAUGAUGACAUGUCAGAGGAGUCAUCUAAAAUAGUGGAAGAGUGUAAAGAUGAGGAAUAAGAAACCUAUAUUUUUAAUUUUGCACAAGAAAAUAAAAACGAAAACAUGCCUCACUAUAAGGUUGAGUGGUUUAACAUGUACCAUACAUUACUAGGUUUACUCAUCUUUGUACCACUACCGUAUUAGCAAAGUAUAAAAAUGGAUGCGAGGUUGGGGGUGAAAUAAAUAUCCUCGAGGUGGAGGAAAAAAUUUAUGUGGGUCGUGCUGUGACACUAAAUUAGGCUCUUAUUGGAGGCAACCCAAGUUAAGGUAGGUUUUAUUUUUAGUAUUUUUAGUUUAUAAUUCACUUGUUUUUGUUUUUGUUGAGUCACAGGUUGAUGGGAAGUCUGAGUGCCAGAAACCUGAGUAAGGAGCAUGGCCAAAUCAAAGUAUGGGGUCCCCAAACCCUCUUAAUGUAUAAAGAUGCUACUAACUAGGCCUAGAGGCCUAAGAAAGUAUUUUUAUCUUUAAUUUUAAGUACACUUUGGGGACAAAGUAUAUUCUUAAGUGAGGGGUAAGGAGACUCACAUUUUUUGGAGUAAUUUUUUUUUUUAAAAAAUAUGUCUUAGAAAUGGGUGGGAUAUUUUUAUAUGUGAUAUAAAUGAUUGCAUGAUGCAAAUGUUUUGAAUGUAAAGAGCAUGUUUAUUGAGUGAAUUACUACUUUUGAGACUCCUAGGCUCUAGUUUAUGACUCUUGUACCUUUUGGCUUGCUGUUAAAUUCAUCUGAUUGUUUGGUUGAGAGUCUAUAAUUAUCCUACUUUAUUUGAGAAUGUGUCAUAUUUACGUAAGGGUUUGUAUAUUCCUUGUUAUACUUGAUUCUAGAACUUGCUUGAUGUGUAAGGAAAACAAAAUAAAGAGUGUGAAUUUAGGAUAUGAUAUAGUCAUUUCUUUGAUAGCCAUGUUUUAUACCCUUUUUUAAACCUACCCUUGCACAUAAUCCUGUUAACCCCAUAAACCUUUAGCUUGUUUUCUUUGGCAUCCUCAUAUGAUGUAUGUAUCCCUUGUUGGAUUGACCUUAAUUUGACACAAUGCUCCAAAUCAAUUUAGUUAAAAUUUAAUUGAGUUAAGGAGUUUUAAAUUCAAGUAGGAAAAAAGUUAAAUUGAAGCCCCAAAGUAAUAGUUAUUAGUGUACUAUUGAUGUGUUAUGGUCGGGAGUGAAAGAAAUUUAUACUAAAAAUUGAAUAGUUAUUUAAUAGAAAAUACUACCUCUUAUAUUGUAUGUGAGUGAUCUUAAUGAAAUGGGGCAGAACAAAAGAUCGGGGUAGACAAAAGUGGUGUAAAUUGGUUUUUAGAGGUGAAUUAAAAGAAAAGUGUAAUGUAUUAAAGCACUUAGGGAAGAUAGUCACUAUUCUUGAUCAAAAUAGUCCUACCUAUCCCUUAGCCUACAUUACAAUCCUUAAAUACCUAUUUGAUAAUAAGUUUCAUCAUUCAAAAUUAGUAGAAUACUACACUAAGGGCAAGCCUAUGGUGUAACUUGUGUAACUUGCAAUUUUUUUGUGAGAGUGAGCGUAAUUCAAUUCCUAUACCCAAUUUGUGAUAAAUUAAAUCUAUGUGAGUGGUUAUGGGUAACUCUCUUGUUCUGAGGAAACAUCUUGUAAUCCAUGAAUCCUUAGUAUAUUGAAGAAUCAAUUCAGUACAUCAAUUUAUAUUCAGCUAGGAGUAGUAUUUAACAUCAAGUGAACAUAGGGUUGAAAACUUAGCCAUUGAUUAGGUUGAGACUAUUAGUAUAAGUCCCUAAGUCCUAGAACUGCAACACCAUAAUAGAUUCUAAAGUCUCACCCAUCAGACUAGGCUUGACACCUUAUUCCUUUUGGACAUCAGUUUAGUGGAUCCACAUCAAUCAGUAUUCUUAUCCUUGCCAAGAUAUAGAUCACCCUUUUAGGUAUAGGUUGGUUUUUAUUUAGCUUAGAUGGAGUAUGUCUAGUAAUAGUAGCUCCCAUAGUUCAGUCUCAAACAUUGCAUGGCCUUGUAUUUAGUUAUUCAUUUUGUUAUAAUCUAAUUAUAUGCUUAUUAAUUGGUCAUAGCAUCACUUUACAUAUUUUAGUUCCAUGUUUAGUUUUUCAUGUCAUGAUCAACAUACAUAGUGUAGUGGAUAUCUUACAUGCUUAGUAUACUCAAUGUACUGAUCACAUAGUUUUGUUUGUGCUAUAUUGUAUUAUAAUAUAUAUUCAGGCACUUAGUAUCUAGCUCGCAGUUUUCACAAUCCCACAUCACUUCAGUAGCAGCGUUUGGUGAGUUAUCAUUCAGGGACUAGUUUUAGAAUCUGUUAUUCGUUACUAUUUUAGCUUUAAAUAAUUGGAGUUAGUGGGGGGAUUGUCCUAGUAACUCAUCUUAGUAGAGGCUUUCAGACAAAUAUAUAUUAUAUUUUCAUCUUAUUAGUUAUAAUUAGUUAGUUUCCAUAUUAAAUAAGUAUUAGUUUCCAUUUGAUUAUUCUUAUAUAAUUCAUACUUUCAGUUUUUGCAUAGUAUUUAUUUAGUUUAUACAUUAUUCUAGUGUCAUAUUAGUCCAUAGGUUAGCUUGGGGUCACUUUUGACUAUAAGAACCGUUCUACGAGUAGGGGGUAGUCUCAGGUCAUGACAUUAGAUUACUUUUGUGAAAAGUCCCUGAAUUUACACCACAUAACCACGACUUUUUUCAACCUCAAGUUUCCAUUGACUAUGCAUACCCUCACUCCUCCCAAAUAUUAUUAAUAAUUUUUGAGAGUUUCUUAUGAUUCAUUAGAAGGAUUUUGAUUCCUUAUCUUUGACUACUCUUUUGAGAAAUGUCUUUAGAUCUAUAACAUUUUCAUAUGGUCUUGAAUAGUGGAACCUCAUUUUUUUCUUCAUGCAGCCGAUGUAUGAAUUAUCCUUUUUCACUCCUUCCGUCUCUAGAUUUUAUGCUUCCAAUAGUUGGAAGGCUUUUUUUCAAAACUUUGAAGAGCUACUAAAAUCUUCCUUUCUUAUGGAUAGUUGUAGCUAUCAAAAUUUCAUCCAUCAUGAAUUUUGAUUCUUCAUGCUCUUGUCUACUAGCUUGCAUAAAUAAAGAAGGCUAUUUGAAGAAUAAGUUUUUGCACCUUUUGAUUAUUAUUAGGUAGUAAAUAUAUAUAGAGAAGCUCUACCUUUUAUCCACAAAAACCUAUGCCAAUUUUUCCAAUCUAAAAUUAGAUAAUCAUCAAACAAAGAAAAUCUUAAAUAUAAGUCAUAUGUACUUAUGGAAAGAACUUCACACCAUACUUCCUCUUGAUACUUCCUAUGUGGAAGGAUACCAUCACCAUAUUAUCAAUCAAAUAUCCUCUUUUAUUAUGACAAGAGUAUCUGUUCUUCACAAAAGCCAUUCCUAACCAUAAAACUGCCCUGGUAGUUAUGUAAUAAUCACUAUAUAAAUUAUCCAUCUCAUGGUGAAAUUCCUUAUGACCUCACCAUUAAUUGAUGAGAACUUGCUUGAGGCUUAUAUUUUGGUUUAACAGUAGGCAUCACAUCACUAAAAACACCAUUAAUAUUUUCAACUAAGGGUGGUCUAAUGCCUAUUCAACAAUCAUGUCUUAUUAUUUCAUUUGUUCUAGGCCUCAAUAAUCCAUUAUGUGUGUAUAUUACAUUCUUAGAAUUGGACUCCUCGUGACCUUGAGAUUCUCUUACAUCAUAAGUACUUGAUACUUCACUAUCUUUAUACUCAUUCUUUCUACCUUCACUAAUAAAUGCAUCUUAAUAAGAGUAAGGAAGAGCAGGUAUACUCCAAACGUCAGGAGCUCACUUCAAAUCUCUGAUCCAAAGUUGCUCUGCACGAUGCACAUGUCAAUGGAUAGAACACGUACUAUGAUCUGUAGGCUACAGAAGUUUAUUAUAAGUAUUAAACAUGUGGUAUGCAGUAGUCAUCUUCCCACUAAGCUCCAUAUAUAAUGCAAGUAUAAAUAUCAUAAAAAGCCAGAAUAUAAACUACAAACAACUAUUCAGGGAACUAAACAUAAUCAUGCUAAUGAGUCUAUGAAUGUAAAUUAUCCUAUUCUAAUAUUACACUGGAACUAAAUACAGUAUGUAUAUCACUAGCCAAUAUACACAUGAAGAGAGAAUAUAGUAGUAGUACAAGGCUAAAGGAUACAUAUACGAUAUAAUUGAAUAAGGAAAGCGACAGAGAGAAUGUAAUAUCAUAUAUAUAUAUGUAUAUAUAUAUAUGUAUACACACACCAAUGUAGGACAAAACUCAAAUAUAAUAACCUGAGGGAACCAAUCUAAUCUCUCGAGCAUCAUAUCUAGGAAGAAAAGAUAAUACUAGCAUAAUUUGGGUUCCUAACCAAAGGAUCACUAAACAUGAGAUAAUCUAAAAAGAGGAAUCUUACUAUGAGAAAGGAAAGGAAUCAAAACCAUACUGACAAUCUUGGGCUAUCCCAUAAUCAUCCUGCCAUAAACAAACAAUAAUUACCAAUAAUAAAGUAACCAGCUAGUCUAGAAAAAUAAUAACAUAACCAGGCGCCAUAAGCCCGGAGGUUCCAAUCAAACACUCAACAAACAACAAUCAUAACUUAUACUUAUACUACACCCCAUAAUGUUGGUGGAUAAAAGCACCAAACAAUUAUACUGAUGAUAGGGAACACAUAUAAAUGAAUGAUGCAACAUAAACCAAUUGUAAACCAUGAAUCCUCACAUAAAGUAAGCACCAAACUUGAACCUAUUCCAUAACAUAAUGAGUACUCCAUCGGUUCUGGACACAAACAAAAAAUAUUAUCAUAAAUGUUGAACAUGAAUCAUAAAUAGUAUCCUAAGUGUCAGACUCAAAUAAGAAAGAGUAUUAUAAGUUCUAGACUGAAAUUGUAAAUAGUAUUAUAAGUCCCAACUUGAACUAGAAAUAGUAUCAUAAGUGCUAGACUUGAAUCAGAAAUACUAUCAUAAGUGUCGAACUAGAACUAAAAAUAGUAUCAUAAGUGGAAAACUCAGAUUAAAAAAUAGUAUAAGUGUCGGACUAGAAAAGAAAUAUAGUGCCAUAACUAAAGAACCAUUACCUGAGAUGAACCUUGGGACUAAAGAAGAAUAAUAGCAUAGAAAGGGUCUAAUCUCUCUCGACCGAUGUAAAUUGUAGUGGUAUAAGAGUGGAUAAACUACUAACCAAAGUCAAUCUAGAUCUAAUUUCCAAAACAUCAUCUUUUGUUUCGACAACAUCUAAGUCAUUAAAUAAGGCAGUAUGUUUCCUAUAACAAAAGAAUUUAUCUUAAAACUAAAAAGUGAGACUAAAUAUAUUUUUAGAAAACAAUUGUAAAGUCAUGGUUUAGAUUGGAAUCGUACCACUAAGUGAGCAUGAAUGCAUAUAAAGUAUGCAUCCCAUCACCAGUAUACAACCAAUUCAGUAGUAAGCACCUAAUCAUCUAUAAACUAGAAUCACACCCUUCCUAAGUGUUGAAUACACAUCUGAAGUCCACCUGGUAUAUAACCAUAGCCUUGGGCCCAACAAUAUAUAACCUGCAUAAUAAUAGCACUAUAAUCUUGGAAACUAAGUCACUAAGUCAAAUAGUGUAUCUUCUACAAAAGGGUCCCUUGUUAUAAUUCUAUGGUUAACAUGGUUAUAAUUAAGGGCAAUGGUAUUCUAAGUCCCUAGCAAGCAUUUUAUAGUAAGGUUUGGAUCAGGUUUAGCCCAAGUCCCCUAAGUAGGCUGAGGCCUAAUAUACUAAUCACAAUCUAAUCCUAUAAUUCUUACCUAACAUGCAAUCAACACUUUACACAAGCUCAUAGAGUAAAGUAGAUCAAAGCCUACCUUAAUGCCAAACUGCAAGUCUUAAACCAUCCAAAAAUUUCAAGCAUUUCCUCCACAAUCCCAAAAAUGACAUGGCACAAUCAAAAUAAUAUUCUAUAUGUAGAUUGGAGUAAAAUGAUACCUAUAUUUCAAUAGAAAACUUUAGGCCAAAAAUUGGAUCAAUAAUGGGCACAUGAGGCUAGCUAAUAGAAUCUAAAAAUGGAAUCCAUCACGAUGCCCGUCAAGGACAAGGAAUGCAUGCACUUUUAAGCAUAAAUGGAGCUCGAAAAUCAACCUACAAAGCUAGGAAAUUCAAAAAUUAAUUUCUAGAAUUUUACGUCAAAACAAUGGAAAAUGAUAAAGCGUAGUUGAAUUAUCUUAUUUUAGCCUAAGUAGAUGAUAUUUUGCAAUUUUCCACGCUCUAAGCUCCAACAAUGGUAAAAAAGGGUUUUGAAUCACAAUUUUAGUUGGAAAUUAAGCAAAAUGAAAUGGGUAUUCUUGAAAAUAAAAAAUAUAAAGGUAUAAUCACAUACACAAUGAUUAUACAAGAAAAACACAUCAAUAAUCAUUAUAAACAAAGCUUCCUAGCUCCUAAAAUGUA